Molecule: small nucleolar RNA, 136 nt
Organism: Seriola dumerili (greater amberjack)
Lineage: Eukaryota; Metazoa; Chordata; Actinopteri; Carangiformes; Carangidae
Source: Ensembl
UCUGCACACCGUUAGAGCCCGGCGCUGUCCUGUCUGUGCAGUGCGGGGUGUAGGAUGUGUGCUAAAAAGUAUGCAUGGCCUCUAACCUUCUUUCUGAACCACACAGGGGGAAGCAGGUAGAGGUCUUGCUACAGAA